CAAUAGCGUAUAUUAAAGUUGUUGCGGUUAAAAAGCUCGUAGUUGGAUUUCUGCUGAGAACGACCGGUCCGCCCUCUGGGUGUGUAUCUGGCUCUUUCUUGGCAUCUUCUUGGUGAACGUUGCUGCACUUGACUGUGUGGAGCGCUACCCAGGACUUUUACUUUGAGGAAAUUAGAGUGUUUCAAGCAGGCAUACGCCUUGAAUACAUUAGCAUGGAAUAAUAAGAUAGGACCUCGGUUCUAUUUUGUUGGUUUCUAGAGCUGAGGUAAUGAUUAAUAGGGAUAGUUGGGGGCAUUCGUAUUUAACUGUCAGAGGUGAAAUUCUUGGAUUUGUUAAAGACGAACGACUGCGAAAGCAUUUGCCAAGGAUGUUUUCAUUGA
Molecule: ribosomal RNA, 380 nt
Filed under: uncultured eukaryote
Lineage: Eukaryota
Description: partial 18S ribosomal RNA
Rfam family: Eukaryotic small subunit ribosomal RNA
Source: RNAcentral